UACGGAGGAUGCGAGCGUUAUUCGGAUUUAUUGGGUUUAAAGGGUGCGUAGGCGGACUGUUAAGUCAGCGGUAAAAGCCCGGGGCUCAACCCCGGCCUGCCGUUGAAACUGGCGGCCUCGAGUGGGCGAGAAGUAUGCGGAAUGCGUGGUGUAGCGGUGAAAUGCAUAGAUAUCGCGCAGAACCCCGAUUGCGAAGGCAGCCUGCCGGCCCCACACUGACGCUGAGGCACGAAAGCGUGGGUAUCGAACAGG
Molecule: ribosomal RNA, 252 nt
Filed under: uncultured Bacteroidales bacterium
Lineage: Bacteria; Pseudomonadati; Bacteroidota; Bacteroidia; Bacteroidales
Description: partial 16S ribosomal RNA
Rfam family: Bacterial small subunit ribosomal RNA
Source: RNAcentral